This is an RNA transcript of Sorghum bicolor (sorghum), 1508 nucleotides long. RefSeq lists it as uncharacterized. The record is from RefSeq and is a predicted model, not a curated record. The transcript is spliced from 4 exons. NCBI's taxonomy places the organism in Eukaryota, Viridiplantae, Streptophyta, Magnoliopsida, Poales, Poaceae.
CCGGGGUCAUCUGCACUGCACGAACCACGCCCGCUGCCUACCGCCCACGUCGAACCCCCCACCGCCCGUCACCCAUCGCCCGCCGCGCAUGGCGCAUCUCCCCUCCCCUCUCCUCACAACGGCGCGCUUGAUCGCCGGGGGCCCGUUGAAUGCGGCGAGCUCCCGCUCGGGUCAGACGCCGUGGGCCUGCUGGUUGUUGACAAGGCGGAAGAGGCCCCAGCUGCGGACGGCAACGACAGCGAGGGGGCUCUGGGAGGGACCGAGGGAGAGGUCGACGACGGGGAGGAGACGUUUCGCCCGUGCGGGCCUUGUCGAAGGCCUGGAGGAGCGCGGCGCGGUCGGACUAGGGCGCCGGAGGAGAGGGGGACACCAUUACGGCGGCUCCCCCGCCGCGCUGGUGACUCAUCGGCGGCUCCCACAACGGUGCGUCUCUCUCGAUGGCGGCCGCUCCCACGGCGGCGCUGCUCUCGGCCAUCCGCGACGGCGAGCAGCGCGGCCGCUCCAGCGCUGCCGCCCCGUCCCCGUCCCGAGCUGCUACCGCCCCGAGCUGCCUACGCCAACCUAGCCACGCUGCGAGCGGCCCCUGCCGUGCGACACCAGGCCGAGAAGAAGUUGUGCCACAGCAAGAUGGAGGCGCAGGCGGCCAUCGCUGUGGGGCACAGGAAGGCAGGGGCACGAGCGGAGAGGGGCAAGCGGGUCCAAGCUUGCGCCCGGACGCCAAACACACUACAACGCGCUCCUGGAGGGCUUGCUCGCCACCGCGCGCCUCCUGCGUCACAUGGCCGACGGCGGUGUCGCGAGGAACCACCGAACCAGCACACCUAAAUGCUCCUGCGUCCUUGCGUGCUGGCCGGCUUGAGUCGUGGUAUCUGAAGUAUACAAGGAAAUGGAACUAUUGCUGGAUGCACUCCAGAUAGAAAAGCCAAAGAAAUGUUACAUGAUGAGUUUGUAAUUCUGGAACGAAGAGGAUGCGAACAAACAGAUUGGGGAAGAUCCAGUUUAUUGUUGGAUCAAGAGGACGACUAACACUAUGCCGCCAUGAUGAAUAUGGUAUUACGGACUUGACCAGAAGGGUUAUGAUCAAAGAAACAUAUUUAUACCGCGAACUGAGGUUGCGUCUUGCGGGAAGAAAACUCAGUGCACAGUAUCUUGACCUGAAGAAAAAGGGCAUGCUCAGAUGGGAAGCCUACAAGGAACAUAGAGAAGACAUCCGCAAAUCAUUUGGUUUUCUUGGUCGUGCUCUUGCAAGGUAUAAGGAUCGUCGUACAAAAGCUGGCUACUUCUAUAUGUGCAAGCAUCGAAAGGUCCACAAAGUAUUCAUAAUGAGCCCGCUGUACACUAUGCCACGAAAAGGUGCGAUGAAGAAAAUAAGGCAGAUUCUUCAAAAGAGAGAAGCCUAUGACUCCAUCAUAAGCAACAAUGGUCCUCUUGGUACACAUGGAUCGAAUUUGGCGAGAUGUCUCGACUUGUUGGGCAGUAUAGGAAGACGUGGAUUGGUGCAAUUAUUG